CCUUAAUAAAAAAAAUGUUGUGAUUCGAAAAGAGAUUAUCUUGAUUCAUGAAAUUUUUCUUGUUGAUGGUGGGAAGAUAGAAAUGUUGGUUUGGUUGCAAGUUCAUUGUAAUUUUUAUCUUUACUUUCUUAUAAUUGAUAUCAUGAAGUCUAGCGAAGUAUCCUUGUGAAUUCACAAAUUUUGGUGUGCAAUGAGAUGGCUAUAAUGUAAAUAGACUUCUUGCACUUUUUAAUCAACAAACAAUGGUAAAGCCCUAUUAGUUAAUGGUAGAAGAUUAACUAUGAGUAAGAAUAAAUGUCUCUUCACUAUACAUAGUAUUUUCAUAUAACUAUUAAAAAUGUGAAUAUUACAAGUUUACAAUUGGGCUUUUGUUUAUUUUCAAUUUUCUUCUUUUUUUCCCCUCUGAAAGGAAGAAGGAAAUUAACUAGGUCAACUGGAAAACUAGAGAAGAAAUACCAUAACUCUUGAUAGACGUUCCCGACAUUUUAUCUAUUGACAAGUUCAUCUGUCGAUAAUUAUUGAGGCUAACUGUCGGGAACGACAGUUCAGUCCUUACCUGAGCUCAGUGUGUUUCACAUUAAUUUCGAUCUUACAUAAGUAAAUUCGUAAAAGGUGAUUUGAAGUAAUAUGUGUGAUAUUCGUUGUAUGCAUUUGGUGAAAAUCUUGAUUGACACUUGACAUAUAUUUCGUUUCAAUGUGUAUGUUACGUGUGUCAUAACCUUGCUUUCACUUGCAAUCCACUUGUUGUGUGUGGUACUCGUUGUAUUCGGGUGGAACUCUUGAUAGACACUUCAUAGCAUACUUAUGGUUUUUGGUCUAUAUGCAGCUAGAAAUAUUAUAUUAUCAUUUGAUGCAUCCAUUUCUUGUUUUGUCUUUGCAUACAUGGAUUUCGAGCUUCUUGCUCAGGAGACAGUGACGACAAGGAAGCUUGUGUUGGUUUGGGGGACGGUGACGACAAGAAAGUUCCCUACGCUGGUAUGGGAAACGUUGAGCAAGACUUAAUUGCUUCUGCUAGCGGCAUGGCAGGGGAGGACGCGGUGCGAGUGAAAUGCCGAUGGAGGCCACCACAGCCGUGCCCGUGGAUACGGCACCUAUCUCAAAGAUGAUGUGAUCUGCACGCCUGCGACAUCCUGCACCGUUUACUAGGACUCCGUACAUGAGGGAGAUUGCAAAGAAAGUGAAAAAAAUAAAAUCGUACUCAUGACCUGAACAAGUAUCAAAGUGUUGGUCGACAAGUUCUUGUUGUAAUGGAAGGUGGAUCCAAUCGAUGUCCAUGUCAAAGAAAGAGCGACGUUGACAAUGUUUUACUUCGGGUGACUGCGGAGAAUGCACGGAGGAACAUUUUGUUUUAUAUUAUUGUAUAUUUAUUUUUUGGGAAAUGUUGAUAUGUUCAAGUGGUAUUCACUGUCAAAGAAACUGUGUGAAUUUAGUACGGAAAAUGUUGGUAUGGAAACUGUUUUUGGCACA
Olea europaea var. sylvestris is the source of this 1467-nucleotide long non-coding RNA. RefSeq lists it as uncharacterized. Lineage: Eukaryota; Viridiplantae; Streptophyta; Magnoliopsida; Lamiales; Oleaceae. The transcript is spliced from 3 exons. The record is from RefSeq and is a predicted model, not a curated record.